UGAGGAAUAUUGGACAAUGGAUGGAAAUCUGAUCCAGCCAUGCCGCGUGCAGGAAGACGGCCCUAUGGGUUGUAAACUGCUUUUGUAUGGGAGCAAUAAGGACUACGUGUAGUUUGAUGAGAGUACCAUACGAAUAAGCAUCGGCUAACUCCGUGCCAGCAGCCGCGGUAAUACGGAGGAUGCGAGCGUUAUCCGGAUUUAUUGGGUUUAAAGGGUGCGUAGGCGGCGAUAUAAGUCAGUGGUGAAAUAUUUCGGCUUAACCGAGAGACUGCCAUUGAUACUGUGUUGCUAGAAUAUGGUUGCUGUGAGUGGAAUGUGUGGUGUUGCGGUGAAAUGCUUAGAUAUCACACAGAAUAUCGAUUGCGAAGGCAGCUCACAAAGCCAUUAUUGACGCUGAGGCACGAAAGUGUGGGGAUCAAACA
Molecule: ribosomal RNA, 422 nt
Filed under: uncultured bacterium
Lineage: Bacteria
Description: bacterial SSU rRNA
Rfam family: Bacterial small subunit ribosomal RNA
Source: RNAcentral